Molecule: ribosomal RNA, 1495 nt
Filed under: metagenome
Description: bacterial SSU rRNA
Rfam family: Bacterial small subunit ribosomal RNA
Source: RNAcentral
GAGUUUGAUCCUGGCUCAGAUUGAACGCUGGCGGCAUGCUUUACACAUGCAAGUCGAACGGCAGCACGGGUGCUCGCACCUGGUGGCGAGUGGCGAACGGGUGAGUAAUGCAUCGGAACGUGCCUAUUAGUGGGGGAUAACGCUUCGAAAGGAGUGCUAAUACCGCAUAAUCUCUGAGGAGGAAAGCAGGGGACCUUCGGGCCUUGCGCUGAUAGAGCGGCCGAUGUCUGAUUAGCUAGUUGGUGAGGUAAAGGCUCACCAAGGCGACGAUCCGUAGCGGGUCUGAGAGGAUGAUCCGCCACACUGGGACUGAGACACGGCCCAGACUCCUACGGGAGGCAGCAGUGGGGAAUUUUGGACAAUGGGCGCAAGCCUGAUCCAGCCAUGCCGCGUGAGUGAAGAAGGCCUUCGGGUUGUAAAGCUCUUUUGUCCGGGAGCAAGUCCUACUGGCUAAUAUCUGGUGGGGAUGAGAGUACUGGAAGAAUAAGCACCGGCUAACUACGUGCCAGCAGCCGCGGUAAUACGUAGGGUGCGAGCGUUAAUCGGAAUUACUGGGCGUAAAGGGUGCGCAGGCGGUUUUGUAAGCCAGAUGUGAAAUCCCCGGGCUUAACCUGGGAACUGCGUUUGGAACUACAAGGCUAGAGUGUGUCAGAGGGGGGUAGAAUUCCACGUGUAGCAGUGAAAUGCGUAGAGAUGUGGAGGAAUACCGAUGGCGAAGGCAGCCCCCUGGGAUAACACUGACGCUCAUGCACGAAAGCGUGGGGAGCAGACAGGACUAGAUACCCUGGUAGUCCACGCCCUAAACGAUGUCUACUAGUUGUUGGGAGAGGAAUCUCUUGGUAACGCAGCUAACGCGAGAAGUAGACCGCCUGGGGAGUACGGUCGCAAGAUUAAAACUCAAAGGAAUUGACGGGGGCCCGCACAAGCGGUGGAUGAUGUGGAUUAAUUCGAUGCAACGCGAAAAACCUUACCUGGUCUUGACAUGUAACGAAGCCUCCAGAGACGGAGGUCUGCCCGAAAGGGAGCGUUAACACAGGUGCUGCAGGGCUGUCGUCAGCUCGUGUCGUGAGAUGUUGGGUUAAGUCCCGCAACGAGCGCAACCCUUGCCAUUAGUUGCCAUCAUUAAGUUGGGCACUUUAAUGGGACUGCCGGUGACAAACCGGAGGAAGGUGGGGAUGACGUCAAGUCCUCAUGGCCCUUAUGACCAGGGCUUCACACGUCAUACAAUGGUCGGUACAGAGGGUUGCCAAACCGCAAGGUGGAGCUAAUCUCAGAAAACCGAUCGUAGUCCGGAUCGCAGUCUGCAACUCGACUGCGUGAAGUCGGAAUCGCUAGUAAUCGCGGAUCAGCAUGUCGCGGUGAAUACGUUCCCGGGCCUUGUACACACCGCCCGUCACACCAUGGGAGUGGGGGAUACCAGAAGUGGGUAGGCUAACCGCAAGGAGGCCGCUUACCACGGUAUGCUUCAUGACUGGGGUGAAGUCGUAACAAGGUA